AGAGUUUGAUCCUGGCUCAGGACGAACGCUGGCGGCGUGCCUAACACAUGCAAGUCGAACGAGGUUCAUUCAGUAGCAAUACUGGAGAAGACCAAGUGGCGAACGGGUGAGUAGCACGUGAGCAACCUACCCCGAAGACCGGGACAACACCGGGAAACCGGUGCUAAUACUGGAUAUCCCCAUCCGGAUCGCAUGGUUUGAUGAGGAAAUGGAUUCCGCUUCGGGAGGGGCUCGCGGCCUAUCAGCUAGUUGGUGAGGUAACGGCUCACCAAGGCUUCGACGGGUAGCUGGUCUGAGAGGACGAUCAGCCACACUGGGACUGAGACACGGCCCAGACUCCUACGGGAGGCAGCAGUGGGGAAUCUUGCACAAUGGGCGACAGCCUGAUGCAGCAACGCCGCGUGAGGGACGAAGGCUUUCUGAGUUGUAAACCUCUUUCA
Molecule: ribosomal RNA, 440 nt
Filed under: uncultured bacterium
Lineage: Bacteria
Description: bacterial SSU rRNA
Rfam family: Bacterial small subunit ribosomal RNA
Source: RNAcentral